UACGUAGGGGGCAAGCGUUGUCCGGAAUCAUUGGGCGUAAAGCGCGUGUAGGCGGUUCAGUAAGUCUGCUGUGAAAGUCCAGGGCUCAACCCUGGGAUGCCGGUGGAUACUGCUGGACUAGAGUGCGGAAGAGGCGAGUGGAAUUCCCGGUGUAGCGGUGAAAUGCGCAGAUAUCGGGAGGAACACCAAUUGCGAAGGCAGUUCGCUGGGACGUUACUGACGCUGAGACGCGAAAGCGUGGGGAGCAAACAGG
Molecule: ribosomal RNA, 253 nt
Filed under: uncultured bacterium
Lineage: Bacteria
Description: partial 16S ribosomal RNA
Rfam family: Bacterial small subunit ribosomal RNA
Source: RNAcentral